GUGAUAAUCAAUAGCUUCUCUCUUAAUAUAUUCAUGUCUAGUACAAUAUACACAGCCUACAUAAUACCUAAUUUCUAAAGAAACUUACCAAAAAGGUUUAAAUGUGAAGCACACGACUAACCUGAUUAAUUGAAUAACUCCGAUUGAUUACAUGAUUGAGAUUGAUACAGAGAUUAACGCGAUAAAAAAUUGUCCUGGAGAAAGCAUAUAACCCACAUAAUGGUAUUCUCAACACAGUGAA
This 241-nucleotide unclassified non-coding RNA is filed under the name Hevea brasiliensis (rubber tree). The record is from RNAcentral. Lineage: Eukaryota; Viridiplantae; Streptophyta; Magnoliopsida; Malpighiales; Euphorbiaceae.